RNAcentral lists this ribosomal RNA (254 nucleotides) under uncultured bacterium. RNAcentral's name for it is "partial 16S ribosomal RNA". It matches the Rfam family "Bacterial small subunit ribosomal RNA", at positions 78 to 334 of the family's 1533-position model. The record is from RNAcentral.
UCUUUCUUUGCUGGCGACCGGCGCACGGGUGAGUAACACGUAUCCAACCUGCCUUUACUCGGGGAUAGCCUUUCGAAAGAAAGAUUAAUACCCGAUAGUAUAAUGAUUCCGCAUGGUUUCAUUAUUAAAGGAUUCCGGUAAAGGAUGGGGAUGCGUUCCAUUAGGUUGUUGGUGAGGUAACGGCUCACCAAGCCUUCGAUGGAUAGGGGUUCUGAGAGGAAGGUCCCCCACAUUGGAACUGAGACACGGUCCAA